RNAcentral lists this ribosomal RNA (500 nucleotides) under uncultured bacterium. RNAcentral describes it as "partial 16S ribosomal RNA". It matches the Rfam family "Bacterial small subunit ribosomal RNA", at positions 30 to 523 of the family's 1533-position model. The record is from RNAcentral.
AUUGAACGCUGGCGGAAUGCUUUACACAUGCAAGUCGAACGGCAGCACGGACUUCGGUCUGGUGGCGAGUGGCGAACGGGUGAGUAAUGUAUCGGAACGUGCCCAGUCGUGGGGGAUAACGUAGUGAAAAUUACGCUAAUACCGCAUACGAUCUAUGGAUGAAAGCGGGGGAUCGCAAGACCUCGCGCGAUUGGAGCGGCCGAUAUCAGAUUAGGAAGUUGGUGGGGUAAAGGCCCACCAAGCCAACGAUCUGUAGCUGGUCUGAGAGGACGACAAGCCACACUGGAACUGAGACACGGUCCAGACUCCUACGGGAGGCAGCAGUGGGGAAUUUUGGACAAUGGGCGAAAGCCUGAUCCAGCCAUUCCGCGUGCAGGAUGAAGGCCCUCGGGUUGUAAACUGCUUUUGUACAGAACGAAAAGGUUUCUACUAAUACUAGGAGCUCAUGACGGUACUGUAAGAAUAAGCACCGGCUAACUACGUGCCAGCAGCCGCAGUAA